RNAcentral lists this ribosomal RNA (253 nucleotides) under uncultured bacterium. RNAcentral's name for it is "partial 16S ribosomal RNA". It matches the Rfam family "Bacterial small subunit ribosomal RNA", at positions 524 to 776 of the family's 1533-position model. The record is from RNAcentral.
UACGAAGGGGGCUAGCGUUGCUCGGAAUCACUGGGCGUAAAGCGCACGUAGGCGGAUCUUUAAGUCAGGGGUGAAACCCUGGAGCUCAACUCCAGAACUGCCUUUGAUACUGGGGAUCUCGAGUCCGGAAGAGGUGAGUGGAACUCCGAGUGUAGAGGUGAAAUUCGUAGAUAUUCGGAAGAACACCAGUGGCGAAGGCGGCUCACUGGUCCGGUACUGACGCUGAGGUGCGAAAGCGUGGGGAGCAAACAGG